Molecule: ribosomal RNA, 619 nt
Filed under: uncultured Bacteroidales bacterium
Lineage: Bacteria; Pseudomonadati; Bacteroidota; Bacteroidia; Bacteroidales
Description: bacterial SSU rRNA
Rfam family: Bacterial small subunit ribosomal RNA
Source: RNAcentral
UGAGUAACACGUAUCCAACCUGCCCUUUACUCGGGGAUAGCCUUUCGAAAGAAAGAGUAAUACCCGAUAGCAUAAUGAUUCCGCAUGGUUUCAUUAUUAAAGGAUUCCGGUAAAGGAUGGGGAUGCGUUCCAUUAGGUUGUUGGUGAGGUAACGGCUCACCAAGCCUUCGAUGGAUAGGGGUUCUGAGAGGAAGGUCCCCCACAUUGGAACUGAGACACGGUCCAAACUCCUACGGGAGGCAGCAGUGAGGAAUAUUGGUCAAUGGGCGUUAGCCUGAACCAGCCAAGUAGCGUGAAGGAUGAAGGCUCUAUGGGUCGUAAACUUCUUUUAUAUAAGAAUAAAGUGCAGUAUGUAUACUGUUUUGUAUGUAUUAUAUGAAUAAGGAUCGGCUAACUCCGUGCCAGCAGCCGCGGUAAUACGGAGGAUCCGAGCGUUAUCCGGAUUUAUUGGGUUUAAAGGGAGCGUAGGUGGACUGGUAAGUCAGUUGUGAAAGUUUGCGGCUCAACCGUAAAAUUGCAGUUGAUACUGUCAGUCUUGAGUACAGUAGAGGUGGGCGGAAUUCGUGGUGUAGCGGUGAAAUGCUUAGACGUCACGAAGAACUCCGAUUGCGAAGGCAGC